Molecule: transfer RNA, 64 nt
Filed under: Fukomys damarensis (Damara mole-rat)
Lineage: Eukaryota; Metazoa; Chordata; Mammalia; Rodentia; Bathyergidae
Rfam family: tRNA
About the family: Transfer RNA (tRNA) molecules are approximately 80 nucleotides in length. Their secondary structure includes four short double-helical elements and three loops (D, anti-codon, and T loops).
Source: Rfam by way of RNAcentral
GGUGUAGCUCACUGGUAGAGUGCUUGCCUAGCAAGCUGAGGCCCUGGGUUCCAUCCCCAGCAUC